UGGGGAAUAUUGCACAAUGGGGGAAACCCUGAUGCAGCGACGCCGCGUGAACGAAGAAGGUAUUCGUAUCGUAAAGUUCUGUCCUAUGGAAGAUAAUGACAGUACCAUAGAAGAAAGCUCCGGCUAAAUACGUGCCAGCAGCCGCGGUAAUACGUAUGGAGCGAGCGUUGUCCGGAAUUAUUGGGCGUAAAGGGUACGCAGGCGGUUUAAUAAGUCGAAUGUUAAAGAUCGGGGCUCAACCCCGCAAAGCAUUGGAAACUGAUAAACUUGAGUAGUGGAGAGGAAAGUGGAAUUCCUAGUGUAGUGGUGAAAGACGUAGAUAUUAGGAGGAAUACCAGUAGCGAAGGCGACUUUCUGGACACAAACUGACGCUGAGGUACGAAAGCGUGGGGAGCAAACAGG
This 402-nucleotide ribosomal RNA is filed under the name bacterium. RNAcentral's name for it is "partial 16S ribosomal RNA". It matches the Rfam family "Bacterial small subunit ribosomal RNA", at positions 355 to 776 of the family's 1533-position model. The record is from RNAcentral.